GAUCAUGGCUCAGGAUGAACGCUGGCGGCGUGCCUAACACAUGCAAGUCGAGCGAUUCUCUUCGGAGAAGAGCGGCGGACGGGUGAGUAACGCGUGGGUAACCUGCCUCAUACACAUGGAUAACAUACCGAAAGGUAUGCUAAUACAGGAUAAUAUAAGAGAUUCACAUGGAUUUCUUAUCAAAGCUCCGGCGGUAUGAGAUGGACCCGCGUCUGAUUAGCUAGUUGGUAAGGUAACGGCUUACCAAGGCGACGAUCAGUAGCCGACCUGAGAGGGUGAUCGGCCACAUUGGAACUGAGACACGGUCCAAACUCCUACGGGAGGCAGCAGUGGGGAAUAUUGCACAAUGGGCGAAAGCCUGAUGCAGCAACGCCGCGUGAGUGAUGAAGGCCUUCGGGUCGUAAAACUCUGUCCUCAAGGAAGAUAAUGACGGUACUUGAGGAGGAAGCCCCGGCUAACUACGUGCCAGCCGCCGC
RNAcentral lists this ribosomal RNA (476 nucleotides) under uncultured bacterium. RNAcentral's name for it is "bacterial SSU rRNA". It matches the Rfam family "Bacterial small subunit ribosomal RNA", at positions 15 to 518 of the family's 1533-position model. The record is from RNAcentral.